AACGAACGCUGGCGGCAUGCCUAACACAUGCAAGUCGAACGAGACCUUCGUGUCUUUUUGCGCUCGUGUGCUUAACGCGUGGUAACCUGCCCUUAGGUUCGGUAUAACUCCCCGUAAGGUGUGCUAAUACCGGUUAAUCUCUUCUGACCAAAGAUUUAUCGCCUUUGGAUGGGCCCGCGUUGGAUUAGCUAGUUGGUAGGGUAAAAGCCUACCAAGGCGAGGAUCCAUAGCUGGUCUGUGAGGAUGAGAAGCCACACUGGGACUGAGACACGGCCCAGACUAGGAGGGGAGGGAGGAGUGGGGAAUAGUGGAAAAUGGGGGAAAGCAUGAUACAGCAAUGGCGGGUGAGUGAUGAAGGCGUUAGGGUUGUAAAGCUCUUUUAACCGGGAUGAUAAUGACAGUAACGGGAGAAUAAGCACCGGCUAACUACGUG
This 433-nucleotide ribosomal RNA is filed under the name uncultured bacterium. RNAcentral describes it as "partial 16S ribosomal RNA". It matches the Rfam family "Bacterial small subunit ribosomal RNA", at positions 29 to 507 of the family's 1533-position model. The record is from RNAcentral.